This is a non-coding RNA of Coffea arabica (coffee), 1550 nucleotides long. The record is from RefSeq and is a predicted model, not a curated record. Lineage: Eukaryota; Viridiplantae; Streptophyta; Magnoliopsida; Gentianales; Rubiaceae.
CAAAAGCAAGAAUUAGUAAUAUCGGAGAGAAAGAGCCCAAAAAUUCCAAUCCAAUAGAAUGAGUAGUAGUAAUUACGACGGCAGAAAGAAGAUGGAGAAGUCAGUUGAAGAAGAUGAAGUGGAGGAAUUGCUGAAAGCUGCACAAGAUGAUAUGCUUCUUAAACUCGGCCUCAAUUCCCACAUGACCCACUCUUCCUCUCAAUUUUCUAGCAUUGACCCUGAUCUUGAUUCACGCUUUCUAGCCCUGAAAAAACCCCAUCAAUCAAAAUCAAAUUCAAAAUCAAUAUCAAAAUCAAAGCUUGAUGAUACAGCAGGCACAACCCAGAAAAACCCAGAAAAGGUUUUGCAAAAUAUCGAUGAAAGUGAUGAUCUUUUUGCAAGAUUUGCUGCUCUCAAGAGUUCUCUUCCUUCGUAUAAUACUUCUGUUAGAGAUGGUCAAGUGCAGCAGCAGCAGCAGUUGAUGGAUGAUGAUGGUGCUGGAGAAGAAGAUGAAGUGGAGAAGGUCACCAUGGAACGGACAUGUUGUCAUAGGAUUUCGCUGAAAUCUCGCAGCUCUUGGAGAGCAUUGCUAUUUCCAAUCUGUUUUGUGGUGAUUCCUUCGAACCGUCAUAUCCAACAUCGACCACUGAAUGAAGCAGUAUUUCAUAUAGUCAUGCAAAACCAUCCUGGCAAAGUUGUGGAUAGUGACCAUUGGCCUCUUGCUGGUCGUCGUCUGCUGGAUCAAGAUACCAAAACUGUAGACAGCCCAACUCCUUGAUGGCUCUGUUCCUGGUCCAUAUUCAGGCAUCUUUUAAGAAUUUGCAACCUUAGCUUUGUAGAAUUUGAUAGUGAAAGUGGAAGAGCACCAGUAAAGUUGUUGCUUCCAAGCUGAUAAAGAUGAAGAUGGGGAAGCACGAGCACAAAGCCUGAUGGAAGUUCUCCACCAUGUUAAUGGAUGAUGGGCAUAUACCUGAUAGAUUGUUGCUGCAGAAUGUUAGGAAUCUUAAUUUUCUCAGUGCAUCUGGAGUUCUCCCUUAGAGGGCAUCAAUAGCAGCUGAUAAACUCUGAAGAGAGCAAGGCAACUAAGGUUAAAUCAGUUAGACAAGUUGGCUGGUAUCCGCCCUUCCCUUCGAGAAGAUUCCUGUCAGGUCUAGAAUCUUCAUUUCAAGAAGAUAACCAAACUUGAUAAGAAAUUCCACAUUGAAGGGUAUUGUUGUGGAGAUUUAUCAUAUGACAAAAGUUUCAGUUUAUACGUCAGUCCCUCUGGAAAUUAAACUAAUGAUGGUUACUCUGCUGUGUUCACUCCACAGGUGACACCUUCUCACUGGCAAAAUAGAGUAUGAAAGUUGCUAAAUUCGGUUUGAGAUCCCUUAUACUCAAAAAGGGAUUUGAUUGGACCACUUUAGUAAUAAUUGUAUAAAUAACUAUAGAUGACUGUUUUUUUAAACAAAAUUUUCACUUUUCUUGUAUUUUCUUAGCACUCCAUCUGAGUUGGAGGCUAGAUACUUGUAUAAGCAUACUUAUGGGUGCUAAUAGUCAAUGAUGCAACAAUUGUAGACAUUUAUAAUCAA